AUAAUACUCCAUAGAUUAGAGACACUGGAAUGUUCUUUAGUCGAAAGUUCUGGCGCCUUAGGAUGGAUCUGCGGUCGAUUAGGUUGUUGUUGGGGUAACGGCCCAACAAGCCUGUAAUCGAUACGGGUUGUGGGAGCAAGAGCCCGGAGAUGGAAUCUGAGACACGAUUCCAGGCCCUACGGGGCGCAGCAGGCGCGAAAACUUUACAAUGCAGGAAACUGUGAUAAGGGAACUCCGAGUGCCCGUAUACGCGGGCUGUCCAGGUGUUUAAAAAUCAUCUGAAGAAAGGGCCGGGCAAGACCGGUGCCAGCCGCCGCGGUAAUACCGGCGGCUCGAGUGGUGGCCACUAUUAUUGGGCUUAAAGCGUCCGUAGCUGGACCGAUAAGUCUCUUGGGAAAUCCGCCGGCUCAACCGGCGGGCGUCUAAGGGAUACUGUUAGUCUAGGGACCGGGGGAGGUGAGAGGUACUCCGGGGGUAGGAGUGAAAUCCUGUAAUCCCCGGGGGACCACCGAUGGCGAAGGCAUCUCACCAGAACAGCUCCGACAGUGAGGGACGAAAGCUGGGGGAGCGAACCGGAUUAGAUACCCGGGUAGUCCCAGCCGUAAACUAUGCGCGUUAGGUGU
Molecule: ribosomal RNA, 623 nt
Filed under: uncultured archaeon
Lineage: Archaea
Description: bacterial SSU rRNA
Rfam family: Archaeal small subunit ribosomal RNA
Source: RNAcentral